UGGCUCAGAGCGAACGCUGGCGGCAGGCUUAACACAUGCAAGUCGAACGGGUAUCUUCGGAUACUAGUGGCAGACGGGUGAGUAACACGUGGGAACGUACCUUUCGGUUCGGAAUAAUACAGGGAAACUUGUACUAAUACCGGAUACGCCCUUCGGGGGAAAGAUUUAUCGCCGAUAGAUCGGCCCGCGUCUGAUUAGCUAGUUGGUGAGGUAAUGGCUCACCAAGGCGACGAUCAGUAGCUGGUCUGAGAGGAUGAUCAGCCACA
RNAcentral lists this ribosomal RNA (266 nucleotides) under Allobosea aff. thiooxidans 1.10. Its description in RNAcentral is "Bosea aff. thiooxidans 1.10 partial 16S ribosomal RNA". It matches the Rfam family "Bacterial small subunit ribosomal RNA", at positions 20 to 312 of the family's 1533-position model. The record is from RNAcentral. Lineage: Bacteria; Pseudomonadati; Pseudomonadota; Alphaproteobacteria; Hyphomicrobiales; Alloboseaceae.